AUUCCAGCUCCAAUAGCGUAUAUUAAAGUUGUUGUGGUUAAAAAGCUCGUAGUUGGAUUUCGGCGGGUAUUGGUCGGUUUGAAUUGCUUCAAUACUGACUUUUUUACCCGUGUGUUUUGCCAGAAUUUAACGGGUGAUCUUCGCCGAUUGUCUGUUAGAACUGGCAGGUUUACUUUGAAAAAAUUAGAGUGCUCAAAGCAAGCUUGAUUGCUUGAAUAUUCGUGCAUGGAAUAAUAGAAUAGGAAGUCGUUUCUAUUUUGUUGGUUUUCGGAAAUCGACUUAAUGAUUAAUAGGGACAGUCGGGGGCAUUUGUAUUCAAACGACAGAGGUGAAAUUCUUGGACCGUUUGAAGACAAACUACUGCGAAAGCAUUUGCCAAGAAUGUUUUCAUUG
This 393-nucleotide ribosomal RNA is filed under the name Temora sp. RNAcentral describes it as "partial small subunit ribosomal RNA". It matches the Rfam family "Eukaryotic small subunit ribosomal RNA", at positions 582 to 975 of the family's 1831-position model. Lineage: Eukaryota; Metazoa; Arthropoda; Copepoda; Calanoida; Temoridae. The record is from RNAcentral.